This is a long non-coding RNA of Amblyraja radiata (thorny skate), 313 nucleotides long. RefSeq lists it as uncharacterized. The transcript has 3 exons. The record is from RefSeq and is a predicted model, not a curated record. Lineage: Eukaryota; Metazoa; Chordata; Chondrichthyes; Rajiformes; Rajidae.
CACACAGGCACAAUUCUCGAUACUUUUUAGCAUUGGCGUGACGACUCGGGUUGGAUUUACGUGUUGCUAUCAUAUAUAUAUCGCAUUCAAACGAUUAUUUUGUCAAAUAAAAAUUCCAUAUGCAUGUUGAGGAGAACGCUCUUGGCAGAAUCUACCCAGCUCCAUUGGUAUCCAUGGGAAUGCCGUCUGGACUGAUGCAAGGAUCGGACACCACGGACACAGACCCCUGGCUUUGGGAGCCGAGGUGUAGGAGGGGCAAGGGUCGCACUGCGUGGAAGGAACUGCAGAUGCUGGUUUAAACCGAAGAUAGACA